AUUGAACGCUGGCGGCAUGCCCUACACAUGCAAGUCGAACGGUAACAGGUCUUCGGAUGCUGACGAGUGGCGAACGGGUGAGUAAUACAUCGGAACGUGCCCGACCGUGGGGGAUAACGAGGCGAAAGCUUUGCUAAUACCGCAUACGAUCUACGGAUGAAAGCGGGGGAUCUUCGGACCUCGCGCGGACGGAGCGGCCGAUGGCAGAUUAGGUAGUUGGUGGGAUAAAAGCUUACCAAGCCGACGAUCUGUAGCUGGUCUGAGAGGAUGAUCAGCCACACUGGGACUGAGACACGGCCAAGACUCCUACGGGAGGCAGCAGUGGGGAAUUGUGGACAAUGGGCGAAAGCCUGAUCCAGCCAUGCCGCGUGCAGGAUGAAGGCCUUCGGGUUGUAAACUGCUUUUGUACGGAACGAAAAGCCUCUUUCUAAUAAAGAGGGGUCAUGACGGUACCGUAAGAAUAAGCACCGGCUAACUACGUG
Molecule: ribosomal RNA, 482 nt
Filed under: uncultured bacterium
Lineage: Bacteria
Description: partial 16S ribosomal RNA
Rfam family: Bacterial small subunit ribosomal RNA
Source: RNAcentral